This 495-nucleotide ribosomal RNA is filed under the name uncultured bacterium. RNAcentral describes it as "bacterial SSU rRNA". It matches the Rfam family "Bacterial small subunit ribosomal RNA", at positions 10 to 502 of the family's 1533-position model. The record is from RNAcentral.
UGUUUGAUCCUGGCUCAGAUUGAACGCUGGCGGCACGCUUAACACAUGCAAGUCGGACGGUAACAGGCCUUCGGGUGCUGACGAGUGGCGGACGGGUGAGUAAUGCGUGGGAAUCUGCCCACCAGUGGGGAAUAACGCAGGGAAACUUGCGCUAAUGCCGUAUAAUCUCUUUGGAGGAAAGCGGGGGACCUUAGGGCCUCGCGCUGGUGGAUGAGCCCACGUCGGAUUAGCUAGUUGGUGGGGUAAAGGCCUACCAAGGCGACGAUCCGUAGCCGGCCUGAGAGGGUGGACGGCCACACUGGGACUGAGACACGGCCCAGACUCCUACGGGAGGCAGCAGUGGGGAAUCUUGGACAAUGGGGGCAACCCUGAUCCAGCGAUGCCGCGUGUGUGAAGAAGGCCUGCGGGUUGUAAAGCACUUUUAUUGGGGAAGAAGGGGUUCUGGCUAAUAUCUGGAAUCAUUUGACGUAACCCAAGAAUAAGCACCGUACUCCC